Rosa rugosa (rugosa rose) is the source of this 1641-nucleotide RNA transcript. RefSeq lists it as uncharacterized. Lineage: Eukaryota; Viridiplantae; Streptophyta; Magnoliopsida; Rosales; Rosaceae. The transcript has 4 exons. The record is from RefSeq and is a predicted model, not a curated record.
CCCAAUGUACUGAGGUUUGCAGCGGGCCUUGAAAUUUGGAAUGGGCUUUGGGCUGCAAAUUAAUCGGGCCCGAACUUCUGAGGUGAAUUGAUUUAGACACCCGUUGUGUUGAGCUUCUGAGGUUGGGCUCUGUGACUUGAGAUGGGCUUUGCAGAGCUCCAAAACUUGUAUACGAGUGAUUUGCAAUGCAUAAACUGAUUUGGACACCCAUUAAUACAGCCCCAUUGAGCCCAGCUCACGUCUUCAAGGUUCUGAUCCCAAAAGGAAGACGUCAUCUCCAUUCGAUAAGCUUCAGAUCCUCUGUGAGACCUCUUUGGCGUAAUCAUCAGAUAGAGAUCAAUUUCAAGAUGAGGAUUAACUAUUUUAAUUCGAUCUGGAGAGGGAGUCAUAUCGCUGAAGUCCAUAUAAAUGGGUUGGCUCAAGUGCCUAGAUUCCCCAUUCGUUCUCUUUCGCGCACCAAAUCAGAGGCCUUGAUUUCUUACCCCUGUUCGCGAAACGCAUCUGUCAGAGCUAUUGGUGUCGAAACCAGAACUGCAAAUGUGUUCAAUUAUACUUGACUCUGACAAACAUAUGUGUGAAGCUAUCUGCAUAUUUUAGACAUAUCUCCACCGCCAAGCCUCGUGGCUCCUUGAGAAGUGACCUCUGCUUCUUUAAUUAGAUGCAAUUGCCGCAUGCUUCUUGAUCUUUUAUUUUUGGCUUGUUCUCAAAGAGACUUGCAGCCUAGCUGCCUCAAUUAUGCAUAUUCUGAAGCUUCUGCUCUGCUGCAAAUAAGUGGAAUAAGCUUCCAUUUCUCUUUUUGCGUAGCCGUGACCAUGAAACCAAAAGCAAGGACUUCAUUUUCCUUUCUUGCUGAUCAUGAGAUUGCUUUUCCAUCUUGCAGACACCAUUUUGAAGAAAAGCAUUGCAGGCGGUGUUCAAACCAUUGCAACAAACAUAAUUUUGAAGGAAGACGUUGCAGCUUGACCACAUCUUUUCUAGGAGUUAAUAAACAUUGCUGCCACUAUCUUGUGCCAAGUAACAAGAACCAGACGACUCCCAUCUCUCUUGUAUUUCGUGGCUGCAGUUUAGUGAUCGAGGGUGAGCCGAACCGAGCGCUUUGCAGGCUUGUGGCUGGAGGUGGAUAACUUGGGGCUGAAACUCUACACGGGGAUCAUCUUGGAGCAGCUUCCCUACUGUUGUGAACUCGGGAACUUUGCAGAACCGUACUCGGUGUGAACUGGUAACCCCGAGGCGUUCACUUGACAUACUUAUUUUUGCCACCCAUAUGCAGGACGCACCGCGAUACAGGCAUCAAAAACAAGCAUGGUGAACCCCCUUGAUCUUGAAGCUUGCUUCCGCCACCUAUACGCAGGACGCACCGCAGUAUAGGCAUCGAAAGCAAGUGCAGCAUGGAGUGACACCACGGCUGUGAAUGAGGGCUUGAUGUCGACUUUGUGUCUUGCCCGGAAGCCGUUGGUGAGAUUUGUGAGGAUGACAGCAACGAGGGACUUUUGGAGAGAGGAUAGGCCAUCAACUUCUUGUUUGGAGUGUUCAUAGUCUUACAUGAUCACCUAUUUAGCUUUCUGUAAUCAUAUAAUGUAGAACAAAGAGAACACUUGAGUGAAAAUAAUAAUUGACAGCAUAUAGAAGAAAUUAUACCCA